GUUUGGUUCCAGGCCUAGUAGUGACCCCCAAGCUUCCUGAAUGUGCCUGAGUGUAUCACAAAAUACUCCGUGGAAAGAGGGAAGCUUCGCUGCUGAGAUGCUCUGUUUCAAAUAAGGAUGCUAUGAACGUUGAACACUUUGCUUUGCUGCCUCCUCCAAAACAACAAUAGAUAUACAGUUCAGAUAGCUGUGUCUCAUCCUGGC
This is a long non-coding RNA of Herpailurus yagouaroundi (jaguarundi), 204 nucleotides long. RefSeq lists it as uncharacterized. NCBI's taxonomy places the organism in Eukaryota, Metazoa, Chordata, Mammalia, Carnivora, Felidae. The transcript has 3 exons. The record is from RefSeq and is a predicted model, not a curated record.